RNAcentral lists this ribosomal RNA (232 nucleotides) under uncultured bacterium. RNAcentral's name for it is "partial 16S ribosomal RNA". It matches the Rfam family "Bacterial small subunit ribosomal RNA", at positions 100 to 334 of the family's 1533-position model. The record is from RNAcentral.
CGGGACGGGUGAGUAAUGUCUGGGAAACUGCCCGAUGGAGGGGGAUAACUACUGGAAACGGUAGCUAAUACCGCAUAACGUCGCAAGACCAAAGAGGGGGACCUUAGGGCCUCUUGCCAUCGGAUGUGCCCAGAUGGGAUUAGCUAGUAGGUGGGGUAAUGGCUCACCAGGCGACGAUCCCUAGCUGGUCUGAGAGGAUGACCAGCCACACUGGAACUGAGACACGGUCCAG